GGCUUCAUGCCCCUGCCUCGGUGUCAGCCCCGACUUGGGAGGUGGCCAGGACCCCAGCCCGGUCUUGCCUCUUCUUCUCAGGGCCUUCCAAGGGAGGGUAGCCGGGCAGUGCCCUUCAACCAGCAGGACCCCAUCUGAUGCUGGUGGCUCCUGUGGUUAGUGAGGCGAUCCUGGGGUUGUGAGAGUCAGAGCCAGGAGCUUCGGCACACAGUAGGGUCUCAUAACAGACGGGAGGUAACUGCCAUGCACCUGCUUGUGCUCCCGCAAACCUAGUUCUGGGCUUCCCAGAAGGGAGGUUCAGUGCAGCAGCCACCCUGGGAGAUAAAGGCACUAAAACUUUUUGGCCGUGGUGGGGGGGGAAUAACAAGAUGCUGACCAUUGUGUUUGCAGAACACGUCGGUUGGAAGACAUUUUUUGAAAACCUGAGGAGGGUAGUGAGAGGACCUCCAAGAAGCCUGCUCGAGGAGUAGCCAGGGGUCUGGGCAUUAAACUUUCUUUCUUUUUUUUAGUAUCUAUCUAUCUAUCUAUCUAUCUAUCUAUCAUCUAUCUAUGUAUUUAUUUAGAGAGUGAGCAGGGGAGGAGCAGAGAGAGAGGGAGACAGAGGAUCUGAAGUGGCCUCUAUGCUGACAGCAGAGAUCCCAAUGCGGGGCUCAAACUCACGAACCGUGAGAUCGUGACCUAAGCCGAAGCUGGACGCCUAACUGACUGAGCCACCCAGGUGCCCCAUGGGCGUUCAACUUUCUUAAGGGAAUGAUGCUGUGUUGGUUUCCUAGGAUUGCUGUAUGUAUCACAUUACCGUCAACUUGGUGGCUCAGAGCAGUAGAGAUUUAUUCUCUCGUGGUUCUGGAGGCCAGAAGUCUACUAUCAAAGUGUCCACGGGGUUGGUUUCUUCUGGGGGUUCUGAAAGGGUAUCUUUCCACACCUCUCUCCUAGCUUCCGGUGGCUCGGGCAUUCCAUGACUCCAGUCUCUGCUUCUGUCUUCACAUGGCCUUCUUCCUUGUGUGUGUCUGUGUUUCUGUUUUCUCUUCGUAGAAAGACGGCAGUUGUUGGAUUAGGGCCCAGCCUAACUCAGUGUGACUUCACCUUAUUUUAAUGUAUUACAUCUGCAAAGACCCUACCUCCAACUAAGGUCACAUUCGGAGGUGUGGGUUGGCCAUGACUUUUGGGAGGACACUACUGGACUCAGGUUCCAUGCAUGGCUGCUGUCUCGCUUCGUGGGGCCAGCAAGUUUGGGGCCAGAGCAGAAUUGCUGGGGACAAAAAAGGGAGGGGCUGACCAUCCCAGCAGUGGUCUGCCUUUUUUGGUUCUUCUACCGACCAUGAGCAGCUGAACACAUCUCUAGACAGUGUGGCUUUGGUGGGAUGCGAAAUGAUUAGCUGCCCAGAGUGCCCACCUGUCGCAGUGGGACCCUGCUUCCCAGCUGGAGCAGAGAGGUCACGUGCAGCCUUGUCUCACCCGCAGGGGAAGGUGCCCACUGAAGGGAAUCCACUGGAGCCUUGGCUGGGGACAGAGAGGGCACCUCGGAGGCUUUGUUCUGCCUGGUCCCUAAGCUUGGGGGUUGGGGAGAAAACAGCUCUAGACUGAAAUCAAAUCACAUUUCAGAUGUCUUCCACUACACAUUAUUUACUUUUCCUUCGUGAGUUGGAUUUAUGUACGGUAAAGUACACAAAUCUUUUUUUUUUAAUUUUUUUUUAACAUUUAUUUAUUGUUGAGACAGAGAGAGACAGAGCAUGAACGGGGGAGGGUCAGAGAGAGAGGGAGACACAGAAUCCGAAGCAGCCUCCAGGCUCUGAGCUGUCAGCACAGAACCCGACGCGGGGCUCGAACUCACGGACCGUGAGAUCAUGACCUGAGCCAAAGUCGGACACUCAACCGACUGAGCCACCCAGAUGCCCCAGUACACAAAUCUUAAAUGGAUUUUUCAAUGGACUUUUAUAAAUGUGUACCCUCAGGCGAAUGCAUAGAACAUUUCGAUCGCCCCCAGGAAGUUCCCAUGUUCUCUCUUCCAGUGGUCCUUCCUCCCCACCUCCCCAAAGAGAGACGCUACUUAACUUGGAAAGGUAGAGGUUAGUUUUGUGUCCACAUCUGCAUACGAAUGGAUCCAGGUAGUAGGUGGUCUUUUGUAUCUGACUUCAUUCUUGACUAUGAGACUCGUCCAUGUACAGGCACGUAGCAGCAGAGUUCAUUCGUUUUCAUUGCUCUGGAAAGUUCUGUCGUUUAGCUAGGCUACGACGCACGUGUCCAUUCUCCUGCUGGUGGAGGAGCAGGUUGUUCCUGCUUUGGGUUGUUUCAAGUUUGGGGCUAUUUUGAAUAAAGCUGCUCAAAACAUUCUCAUCCAUGUCUUUUGGUGGGCAUCAGCACUAUUUUCUGUAGGCUCUAUACCCAGAAAUGCAGGAUGAGUCAUGGGGAGGCUACGUACGCAAGAUACCGCCAAGCACUUUGCCAGAGUGAUAAUACCCAUCUACUCUCCCAACAGUGCUCAAGAAACAUGAGAGCUUCUUGCCAAUCCUUGGUGUACUCAUUCCUUUCCAUCCGAGCCAUCCUGGUGGGGUUACUGUGGUAGCUCGCAUUUUAUUUAUUUUAUUUUAUUUUAUUUUAUUUUAUUUUAUUUUAUUUCAUUUCAUUUCAUUUCAUUUCAUUUCAUUUCAUUUCAUUUAUUUUAUUUCAUUUCAUUUUAUUUUAUUAUUUUCUAUUUUAGUUAUUUCAUUUCAUUUCAUUUUUAAAUGUUUAUUUUGAGAGAGAGAGAGAGAGAGAGAGAGACAGAGAGGGGGGGAGGGACAGAGGGAGACAGAGAGAGAAUCCCAAACAGUCUCCACUCUGUCAGUGCAGAGCCUGAUGUGGGGCUUGAAGUCACGAACCAGGGGAUCAUGACCUGGGCCGAAAUCAAGGGUUGGACGCUUGACCGACUGAGCCACCCAGGCGUCCCUUGCAUUUUAAAUUGGUAUUUGCCUGAUGGUGGUUGGUGGUGAACACAUUUUCAUGUGCUUAUUGGCCGUCUGGUUAUCUUUUUUUGUGCUUCGUCUGUUCUUCUGCCCCUUUUUGUUGGGCUGCUUAUCUUUUCCUUAUUGAUGGGUGGGAGAGAGACCGAGAUUCUUAAAUCCUCAUGGAAGCAGCUCCUCCUUCACACCUACUGUGUUUGUUCAGACCUCCCAGGCCAGGGACUCUGCCACAAGUGCUCAGUUGUCGUGGAGCCGUGUAAAUCAUUAGCCCUGCAGGGAAUUAGGGUGGGAGGGGGGUGGCCCGAGUCUGUUGAUAAUUUCUACGGCUUCCUCGUCAGACUGCAGUUUAUUUAGGGGUUUGUUGAAGGCAAAAGAAUGGGCCAUUUUGCCUCUGGGGCUGGGGUUUCAGGCCUGGGGAGAGAUGGCAGCUUGAAUUUUUGUAUUUGUUUUCUUUACUUCCAGAAUGGUCCUGGAAAGAGACCAUUCCGAAGAUGGCUGUCUUCCUGCCAGUUGCCCAGCCAUCCAGCGUCAAGGGCAGCUGUCAGGGUCCAGGGCCCCAGAUAUCAGUCCCAGCCCCCAGGGUAAACCAACGAGAUCGCAGGGCACAGCUACAAAGCCCACAGCUCCUUCCUUUUUCUUACCUCCCCCUUUCAAGGCUGUAGGUACUGACAGGGCUGCGAUGGUCUCUAAGACAGACAUUCUCCAAGUGUGGUCCCUGGACCAGCAGCAGCGGCAUCACCUGGGAACUUGUUGGAAAUACAGAUUCCCAGGGGCGCCUGGGUGGCUCAGUCAGUUAAGCAUCUGACUUCGGCUCAGGUCACCAUCUUGCAGUCUGUGAACUCGAGCCCCAUGUCGGGCUCUGUGCUGACAGCUCAGAGCCUGGAGCCUGCUUCACAUUCUGUGUCUCCCUCCCUCUCUGCACCUCCUCAGCUCGUGUUCUGUUUGUAUCUCUCUCAAAAAAUAAAUAAACAUUAAAAAAAAAUUUAGAAAUGCACAUUCUCUGGCCUCGCCCCAGAGGUACUGAAUCAUAAACACUGGGCUCUGGGUUUAACUAGCAAUCUGUGUUUUCACCAGGCCUCCAGGGGAUUCUGGGGCACACAAGAGUUUGAGGACCAUGCAUCUGGGGGGGAGUAUUUGCUCAGCUUGACCCGCAAGUCAGGUUUCUGCCAAGACUCUAUCCGGUUAACCCCCAGGGCUGGCUUUGGCACACGCUUUUGGCAGAGCUGAAUCCCUGGAAUUCAGGAGUGAUGGGACAAUCCCGUCUCUUAACCAGUAGUUCACAAACUUAACUGUAUGAGAAAAUCACCUGGGGCGGUGUUUUUGGGUUUGUUUUCAAAAAAUUCUGAUGUCUAGGUUGCUACCCAGACAAAUGAAAUCUGAAUCUUUGGGACUGGUGUCCAGGCAUUGUAUUGAUGUAUUUAAAAAUUUUUUUAAUGUUUAUUUAUUAUUGAGAGACCCAGAGAGGGACAGAGCAUGGGCAUGGGAGGGGCAGAGACAGGAGAAGACAGAAUCUGAAGCAGGCUCCAGGCUCUGAGCUGUCAGCACAGAACCCGACGUGGGGCUCGACCUCACAAACUGCGAGAUCCUGAACUGAGCUGAAGUCGGACGCUCAACUGACUGAGCCACCCAGGCGCCCCUGUACUGAUGUAUUUAAAAAGAAACUAAUAGACUUGAUUUUUUGGAGCAGUUGUAGUUUAUAGAAAACAUAUGUAGAAAGUACAUAAAGUUUCCACACACACCCCUCAUCAUGUCCCCCGAUAUCCACUGGUAUUAACAUCUUAUAUUAGUGUGGUAGGUACGUUAUCAUUGAUGAGCCAAUAUGGAUAUAUGAUGAUUAGCUGAAGUCUAUUGUUUAUGUUAGGGUUUACCCUGGAUGUUGUACAUUCUGUGGAUUUUGACAAAUGUGUAAUGUCACAUAUCCAUCGUCAAACUUUUAUACAGAAUACUUUCACUGCCCUAAAAAUCCCUGGUGUACCUGUUCAUCCCUCCCCAACCCCCUGGCGACCACUGAUCUUUUUACCAUCUCCGUGGUUUUGCCUUUUCCAGAAUGUCAUCAAGUUGGAAUCACACUAUGUAGCCUUUUCAGGUUGGCAUGGAUAUGUGUUUUUAACUCCCCAGGUGAUGCCAUUGUGCAUCCGGGUUUUAGAUCCCUGUACUCAAAGCGUCAGUCCGGAAUUUUCUUAGAAAAAUGCUGAAAUUCAAGUCCCAACCCGGAUCUGGUGACUCAGCAUGUGCAUUUUAACAAGAGCCCCAGGUGACUCAUAUGCACAUGAAGUUAGAGAAGCACUUAUUUAGACAAUGAAGAAUGGUCUUUUUCCAGGACCAUUCCGGAAGCAAAGAAAAUAGAUACAAAAAUUCAAGCUGCCAAAAAAAAAAAAAAAAAAAAAAAAUCGCCUCAAAUGUGGCUUCAAUCUGCCUGUGUAGCUCGGAAGGAGCCGUUAAAAACAAAAAGAAUAUACACACAUACAUGGAAGCUGACUAUAGAAAGGGCCCCUCCCCUUACCAUGAUUUAACCCAAUUGUAUAUUUCUUGGAGGUCUUUCCAAGAAAUGGAAAUUCUUGGAAUCACAAAUCAGCACAUGAAGAUUGCCUUCAUUCUUUUUAUCAGAUGCAGAACGUUCCAGCACAACUACUUGCCAUAAUUUCCCCACUGCCUAAUGGUGACUUCCAGGCUUUUCUCCCCUAAGGGAGCAUACAUCUGUGAAAUGAAGUCCUAGAAAUGAGCUUGCUGGUGUAGAGUAUGCAUUUUUCCUUAAAAACCAAUUUUUUUUGGUGGGGUGCAUGUGGGGGGGGGUGAUGUGAUAUUAUCCCCCAAAGAGGUGUGGUGGCAGAGUUUAUAUACCUGCCAGUUUUCCCACACUCUUGCCGACCCUGAGGCAUAACAGAGUUUUAAAAUAUUUGUUGGGGCGCCUGGGUGGCUCAGUCGGUUAAGCAUCCGACUUCAGCUCAGGUCACGAUCUCGCGGUCCGUGAGUUCGAGCCCCGCGUCGGGCUCUGGGCUGAUGGCUCCGAGCCUGGAGUCUGCUUCCGAUUCUGUGUCUCCCUCUCUCUCUGCCCCUCCCCCAUUCAUGCUCUGUCUCUCUCUGUCUCAAAAAUAAAUAAAUGUUAAAAAAAAAAUUAAAAAAAAAUAUUUGUUAAUGCGAUAGGUAAAAAUAUUCUGUUGCUUUUAUUUUUAUGUCAUUAGUUGUUAGUGAGACUGAAUAUUGUCUCCUGUGUUUAUGUGCUAUGAAUAUUAUUAUUAUUGUUGGGAGCUGCACAUUAGCGUCCUUUGUUGUUGUUUUUCUGUUGGGUAAUUGGCCUUAUAUAUAUAUAUUUUUCAAUUUUUAAAGUUUUUAAAAGUUUUUAUUUAUUUUGAGAGAGAGAUAGACAGCAAGUGGGGAGGGUCAUUGAGAGAGAGAGAGAGAGAGAGGGGGGCGCCUGGGUGGCUCAGUCGGUUAAGCGUCCGACUUCAGCUCAGGUCACGAUCUCGCGGUCCGUGAGUUCGAGCCCUACGUCGGGCUCUGGGCUGAUGGCUCAGAGCCUGGAGCCUGCUUCCGAUUCUGUGUCUCCCUCUCUCUCUGCCCCUCCCCCGUUCAUGCUCUGUCUCUCUGUCUCAAAAAUAAAUAAACAUUAAAAAAAAAAUUAAAAAAAAAAAAAA
Molecule: long non-coding RNA, 6574 nt
Organism: Acinonyx jubatus (cheetah)
Lineage: Eukaryota; Metazoa; Chordata; Mammalia; Carnivora; Felidae
Exons: 2
Source: RefSeq, a predicted model, not a curated record